Molecule: ribosomal RNA, 497 nt
Filed under: uncultured bacterium
Lineage: Bacteria
Description: partial 16S ribosomal RNA
Rfam family: Bacterial small subunit ribosomal RNA
Source: RNAcentral
GAUGAACGCUGGCGGCGUGCCUAAUACAUGCAAGUCGAGCGAACGGACGAGAAGCUUGCUUCUCUGAUGUUAGCGGCGGACGGGUGAGUAACACGUGGAUAACCUACCUAUAAGACUGGGAUAACUUCGGGAAACCGGAGCUAAUACCGGAUAAUAUUUUGAACCGCAUGGUUCAAUAGUGAAAGACGGUUUUGCUGUCACUUAUAGAUGGAUCCGCGCUGCAUUAGCUAGUUGGUAAGGUAACGGCUUACCAAGGCAACGAUGCAUAGCCGACCUGAGAGGGUGAUCGGGCACACUGGAACUGAGACACGGUCCAGACUACUACGGGAGGCAGCAGUAGGGAAUCGUCCGCAAUGGGCGAAAGCCUGACGGAGCAACGCCGCGUGAGUGAUGAAGGUAUUCGGAUCGUAAAACUCUGUUAUUAGGGAAGAACAGAUGUGUAAGUAACUGUGCACAUCUUGACGGUACCUAAUCAGAAAGCCACGGCUAACUACGUG